CGCUGACAUUUUGACCAAUAAUUUUGCGACAGGUUAUAAACAAACCAGAACUGGCCUAAGUUUGACAGCAACGCGCGGGAGCUAAGAGACUAUCGCCGGCAUCGAAUCUUAAUCGGCGAUUGUUUGCUGAAAGCCAUCUCUUCCCGUAAAACUCUCCUUUGAAGAAGAGAAAAAAGCUAUUGAAAGCGGAUUGGUAGAGUAUAAGCUUGGCUUAAGGUUUUCUUUGCGUUUAAUCGCUUUGUAUUUCCUAUCAAUUGCGAUUCGCUUUGUAUUAUUUUUGUAACUGGAUCGUGUUGUUAGUCUUAUCUGGAGUGGGUAUUCUGCGGUAAGUCGCUUUUUUGAGUCUGUACACGGUCAAUACAACCAUCUUAAUUAUCAACAGUCUUAAGUUUGCAGCUGGACGGAUGUUGGUGGAGGCUUGGGGCUGGGGCUAUUUGCCGUGCUUAUUGGCCGUGUUGGUGUUAUGUAGCGUGACUCUGACCUGGGACGCUCCCCUUUUCGCCCCAUAUCGUGAACAUUAUGUGUCCCAGGCGCAUUAUCACGGAGUUGAUGUCUUCACAGAGGCCCUCCAUUCGCCUGUGGGGCCUGAGCAGUUCAUGGAGCAGUUUUACAUGUGCUACGGAAGAGAUGGACGGAAAACGUACUUUAAAAAACAGGACCAAAAUUAUUUCUCCAACCGAAGGUACUGGGUGAUCAGUUCUUCUGGAAAAUUCGUGGCUUCUAUGCGGACCUGUUGAUGUAGCGGACACAUGCUGAAUAAUAGGAGUCAAAUAACCUUAGAGAAAUCUCUUGAUAAAAGUAGGAACAAAAUAAUACCUAUCACAAAUAGUGGAAAAUAAUCGUUCGCAUCCAGGUCGCCUUGCGUUAGACACAUUCGUUGUCAUUGCAGGUUCAGUAGGUUAGCGUCAAACUCGUUUAAGGGGCUGAUGUACAUCACGAUGUUUUUCUGCACUUACCUGUGAGACGGAGGCACUGGGGUCUAUUAGAAACCGCAAAACUGAAGAAAAAAAAUCCUCUAAAACCGCUUAAAAAAUUCGAUCAAAACUGAAACCCACAUGUUAAACCGUACAGUUGUGAUAAGUGGAGUACAGAAGAGAAGCCUGAACCCAAAUAGGAAAAACAAAAACAUCGGAUGCCAAAUCCGAAAACCCGUUUGUAUUUGUGGCGAAAACCGAAAACCAAAAACCAAAUGCUGAAAAAUGGAAAACCCGCAAACUGCAAGGAACAUCAAAACAGAAAAACUAAAAGUUUUUUGGGACAAAAACCGAAAAACUGAUCUAAAAAAUAGCCAAAACCCCAAAACUGAAAAUCUCAAUGCCCCCUCGUGUGACGUGUAAUAAUAGCUUCAAAGAGGCCCAAAAACAAAACCUACAGUGCGUUUUCACUCAAAUAGUUUAUUAGAACAGUUUAUUUAGAACAACAAAAUGGCUGCUGUAAUGUCAAAGGAACAAACGUGUACAGCUUUAAGACAGACAUCAACACAGGAUUGUUCAUGAACUUGAAGAAAGCAGACACAUCUACUGUAAAGAGUUUCGCUUAAGUUACUUUUCGAAGAUGGGGUUAUGAAUUAUGUUACUGUGUCAUAAUCAAAUUAAUCUGAUCUCAUGUUCAUGGCGAGUGUUGUCAUAGUAUGGGGUACAUAAGAGAAUGAUUCUCAUUGGUUUAAGCCUAGAAGAUAAGUUUCUCUGUAAAUCAUAUCAUGGAUAAAACAUGCAAAGAAGAACUCGAUAUGUGCAAAAACUUUUUUCAGACUGAUUAGGUUCUUUAUGCAACUAAAUACAAAAUAACAAAUGAGACUUCAACCAGGUAACAUUUACAUUUUUAAUCCUUCAAUGUAUAAGAACUAACAAAUUCAGAAUCAUUUAAUCUAAACAUUGCGCUUCAUUGAUGUCAUGAGUGAAUGAAAGAAUCAACCUUAGGCCCAAGGCCUCCCUUUUUCUCUAUCUCUUACCCCAUUACAUUGGGAGGGAGGAGGGGUAGGGAUUUUACACUACCUAAAAGGAAGGUGAGGUGCAAUUCUUCAAGGAGAGUGAUACAAAGUUGCUUUUAAGGCCUUCACAAAUGGAACACACAUUUGCCAGAAAACAUGUUACAGUAAAUAGUUAGAACCUAGAAGAAAACAGUGAUCAUCUUGGCAAGGGUAGUCCUGACAAUGAACAGUGUCUUAUUGUGGCUGAGAUUUUGAUACAUGUGUCAAAGUCAUCUUCACAUUAAAGGGCUUCCAAUAAAGACUUUCCCUAAAAUCUUUCCCCUCAGGUAAUAAAAAUCUCAGUCAUGGUAA
Stylophora pistillata is the source of this 2281-nucleotide long non-coding RNA. RefSeq lists it as uncharacterized. The record is from RefSeq and is a predicted model, not a curated record. Lineage: Eukaryota; Metazoa; Cnidaria; Anthozoa; Scleractinia; Pocilloporidae.